AGCGCCACUCGUUCAAAUGGUACUGGCUGCAUCUCAGCAUCUCCGAUCAAACAGCAUAUAACAAGCAAAAUGUUUAAUUUUUUAUUUAGUUCUUCGCCUCAGUUCAUCGCCACCGCCCUUUUUUGAGCCGAGGAAAACUGAUUUAUGUGCAGCCAUCAUCAGACUCCCUUGCUGAGGCAAAUUAACAAUUACUCGGGAGCAAGGCAAACGGAGCAACAAAUCAUUUUAAAAACAGGUAAAAAAAUAAAUAAAUGCAAAAUAAGAACCUGAGCACCUUGUCAAUGCAGUGUUAGUCAGAGUCUCUAUGAUGCCAUCGUUAUACAGCUCUAAAUCUCUGGAAGAACAAGUCAUAGCAGGUCAUUUUCCUAACAGAACCAUUUGUGUAAUUAAUUAAUCUAUUUUAUUCUAUCAGCAAGCAAAACCUCUGUUCAAUAACAUGCACUUCAUAUUUUUUACCCUUUUGUUUUCACAUGCUAUCAGAAAGCAGAAAACUAUCUAAUAAUUAAACAAAUGUUUGUGUCCUUAAGUCACAGACAAUAUACUCCAGAUGUGACCCCCAUUGCACAUCUGGCAAAAACACCACAACUGUCCUGAGAGACAACAUUUACACACAUUCUGUUUGCUCACAUGCUAAAGUCUGCAAACAUACACUAAUGUAUGAGGUACUUUUUAGUAUGUUUUUUUUUCUUACAAUGCGCUAUAUGUCAAACAAGAAUGAAAUAAUUGCAAUUCAGAGCUUAUAAGCACUAAGGAGGGGAUAUUUUUAGCACACUGACCAGAAUCAAGAGGAAUUUUUAAAAAAUGCAGGUUUAUUGUAGGAAAUUUCACAAAUUCCCAAUAGAAUCUGAAGCUAAUAACACUUCUAGAUGUCUCCAACUAGACUAAUUUCAGCUAAUUUUAGUUUGCAUAGAAUGUACCAAAGUUUAGGACUUUUUGCUUUACAGAAAUGCCUUGUCCUUCUCUUUGUGAAACCAUCAAUCCUUUUGGUUCACCACAGCCACUGGGCUAAGAUGAGAAUCUAUCCACCCACAUUAUUCCUUUUCCAUGGUGUUUUGCCACUCUCACCCACGCUAAAUUUGCCCACAGCGAUGACAACGCUUGGCACCCAGAGACGGAGGGAACAGUGACUCACUUGGAUGCAGCUAAAGGACUGGCUGAUGACUUCUCUAACUCAAAUGCCUUAAAUUUUAGGUGGCAGAAUUCAUAAUUAAAACAGAAUCCUAAUGUUCUAUAGAAAAAUGUCAUUUCAUGCACGAGCUACUUAUUAAAAUUAAAAACUACAUCCAGUCAGUGCCGUAGCUCCACCCAUGUGCAAAAGAAUCAGGCUCGGUCACUAUAAUUAAUCAUGAUGACAACAUAUUUAGCUAAAAUUAAAAUAUUAAAUAUUUAAAUGUGAAGCAUGUUAAUAGCUAUAAAAUAUAACAAAUGUGCUCCAGAAAAAGAAAAUAAAUUCUCCAGUCUCCUCCGUGGUAUUAACAAUUACUUGUUACUUGUUGUAACAAUUAAUUGUUUUUCUCCCCACCUCCCAGUGGUCCGUUCUAUCGUGCCUCAAUUUCAAGUUUGGCAGAAACAUGUGUUUGAACACGGCCUCUAAAAGGCAUCAAAAGUUGGGACUGAAGCGUAUCUGUGCUCAGAACACCCAAAUACCUAGCAACGGCCCUGCAUCCAGUUACAUAUAUGUCAACAUGUUAUAAUAAAAACUAUUAUAGUUUAGAUAAUAACGACUCUGUUCACUUAGCCUGGCCAUUGCCUUCCUCUGCUAUUCUGAUGGAUUCAAAUCUUGCUUCACUGUCAGUCUGGACUUUCUCCCAUUGACUUGGAUUCCUCCAGUAAAAUUCCAAGGAGAAGUUGUGAAUGAUGACAGAUUUUCUGUGCUGUUUUAGAAUUGCAGUCUGCCUCUAGCUUUAGCCAUAGCAGCUGAGGAAAUGAAUGAAGCUGUUCAGUCUGUGUUGGUCACACUUCCAAAUACUGAAUUAACAUUAAUAGCCUUCUCAUUUGGCUCCACACUUCUGUCUUUGCAGUGAAGGAUGGUUGUUUACAGUGCAGGGAAUUUCCAGUAAGAUUCAUACUGUUGAACCGGCGCAUUACAUACAUCAAGGGCAAAAGUUAGCUAUGGAGUAAAAUUUAAAACCUGAACCUAGUCCAUGCAUCCAGGAAGCAAUUGUUUCACAUUAGCGGAGAGUCCAGACCCUCUGUACGAAGCAAAGUGUAGAACAAGAAGCUGGUUUUUACCAGGCCACUGUUCACUUAUUCUGCAAAUUACUAUUUAAAAGUUGAAGGCUUAACAAUGUUUAUCUGUAUUUAUCAUGUUGUAAUCAUACACCUACGAGGUAAGGGAUUAUCUUCCCCUUCUUUUUAAUUGCAGAAGGAUAUCUCAGAUGGCUCCACAUGUAGAUCUACAGUUAUAACCAUGACAUUUAACAGAUUUUCCCAGUGGGGUAGUUAAACCUCCGUGUUUUGCUGUGAUUAAAAAAAAAAACGAGGACCAGUGACAUUUAUUUGGCAAACAAUAAACACAGAGGUCUAUUAUACCUGACCUUUUCAUGCGUCUCACUUUUCACGACUUCCAACUCUUUUCUAAUUUAUGCACAUCACAGACUUUUGAACAGCUCCCUAGUGCCUGUGCCUGCGUCACAAGUAUCCAUCUGUCCCAGCAUUAAUUGCACGCCUCUCAGCUGUAGAUUUCAUUUUUUCACUCAAGGGUGCUGCGGAUAAUGCCAUCAAAACUAUUCUACGUGCAGACAGAUGCCUGUCUGGGUUCAACAGAUGCUAAUCUUAUAGAAGAUAAUUGGCUCAGAUAAUUGGAGAGUUUGUCUCUCUCUCUUUUUAAAAUUGAUCCUUUUCUUAAUUAUCAAAACCUUCUGUGCCAUUAGGCAAGGCACUUGUUGUCUGAUAUGCAUGUCAGUGUAUUAUUGUGUGUACAUCUGUGAAUGUAAUUUAUGUGGAUGUGGUGUAAAGUGCGUUAAAUUGGCUUAAAUUGAUAUGACCAGAAAAAUUAAUAAAUUUUGUCCAUUUCCCACUUGUUUUCCCAGAUCUAGACUUUGCCUAGCUGCAGCACUGUGAGCCAACUGCUGUUCCAGCUGAGGGGGAAAUGUCUCUAAUGUCAUUUGAAUAUUUUCAGACUGCAAAAGUGGGUAAAAUACGACCAAUAGCUUUGAAAAUAAAUUCAUGUGAUGGACUAAAGCCAAGAUUAAAGUUGAAGCUUCCUCCUUGUUCACUGUAUCUACCCCAGUAUGAAAGAACCCUAAUUUCAUCAAUUAUGUAGUAUGUCCACUAGAUUAAUAACAUUCUCUCCAACCUCAUUAAUACUGUAAGCAGACACUCUAAAAACCAUUUGUAUUAGUUCCCCCAGGAGAUUUUUCCAUGGAAUCCCCCGUUUUAGUGAGUCAGAGUAUAAAAUAAAUCUGCAAAGAAACUGGUCAUGAGUGGGCUAUCAUGAAGCUUCACUCAUUACGUCAUUCCCUCAGCCACCGCAUACAAACAGAAGCAGCCAUGCAAACAUAAUGGGCAUUUGUGCCUGUAGGUCUGGGUGCUCUCACACAACAAUGUAGAAUGGUAUCUGAGGACAAAAUGAUUUUGUCUGAGUAAAUGUUGGGCGAUAGUUUACAGUUCUCGCUCUGAAUUUUAAAUGCCAGGGAACCAUCUUCUCCUGCCAAGAGUUUGAUGAGCAGAUGGGAACAGAGAAGUGAAGCAUGCAUUUCCUUUUUUUAGACUGUCUAAAGAGAAUGGCAGAAAUAGGUGGAUUUCUUAUUUUCUUGUCCCCUCAUUGAAAAGUGCCAUCUCCGAGAUUUGAGUCUGAUCCUGUUACAGUCAAAAUCUAGUCUACAGGGCAGUGGCGUUGUAAAAGCCAACUUUAGAAUGCACCUGACAAGUUGUGUAGAAGAACAGAAAUGCAUCAAUAAAAUCUUGAAAUUUGCAGUACAAUUUAAAUGACAAGGUAGGAAGUAAAUUCCCCAAAAGAGCCAAACAAAAAUACUUGCAAAAUAAAUAGGUAUAAUGAAUAGGAUCAAGCCAAAUAAUAGAAUAAAUAUUAAAAAUAGAAAGUCAAAUUGAUAAUUCCCCUUAAAAGCUUUACUUUUGUUUUGCCAUUGCUUUAUUGCAAUGAAAUAACUGCAGCAGCAAAAAACACGUCAUCACAGGAAGCCUAAAUCCAGCUGUGUAUCAGGAGGUCUGAGUCAGUAAAAAGAAAAGGUCAAUGAGAACAGCUCUGAAAAGUUAAUCCCUAUGUCAGUCAGAGGGGCAGAGAGGUGGGAGAGACGGUGAAAUUGGUCCCUCUGUUGGAAGAAAUCAGUAGUGCAAAGAUUUAACACGUGAUUAUCUCCCUCUGCUCAUCCACCCAGGCUUUUUGCAUUAAGCCAAAGUACUAAAGCAUAAUCUCAUCUAUGACAGUGUGUGUUUGAGAGCGAGAAAGGGAGGCGGUUGGAGGGAGGCAAAUACGUCAUUCUGCCCCGGCCAGUCAAGUUCUUUAUCUAUUCUAGGGCAAGCGCCAUACUGACAAAGCUGGAUGAAAAAAAAAAAAACAGGGCAAUGUGUGGAGGUGAAAGCAAGGGGACGGUUAAACGUAUAACAUGUCUGUCUCCAUUUCAAACAAUGAUAGCACACACCACGUUCUGCAUUCAUCAGAUAAAUAUUGCGCAAUUAAAAUUAUUUAGUUGAACAAAAUUGUAAAAAAUGUAGAGCAAAUAAUAAAAAAAGAUCAAACUAAGUAUUACAAAAACAAAAAGAAUAUACUCAUAUGUUACUGAAAAAACACAGCUUAAGGACAGAGUUGUGUUCUCACACCUUUUGAAGAAUUGGCUCAUUUAAAGCCUAAUUAUAACCACAUUCUUGUUCAGUAUGGUUUGUAAAGCAAGCACGCAGUGAAGAUGUUCAAUAGGGAUGUUUGUUCUGAUCCCACGUGUACCUUUCCUUCAAAAAUAAAGGUCAUGAGAACAAAAAGCUGCCUAAAUCCCUCCCCAUGGGAGAAAGCACUGGCUAAACAACUUCUUGCAUGUCUUGAUUCCGGCAUGAAUCAAACAAAUCCUCAGUGCUGCACCAAAGAAAGCUAUCAGGAAAUGCAGGCAGGCUUUGGAUACUUUCCUCUCUGGAUGGCCUGGCUUUGUAUCUCUGUCGGAUUGGUUAGGAUGGGCCCCGUGGUGCAGAGCAUGACAAAGAUAAUUUAAUGAGAGCAAAAAUAUUCCAGUGCCAGUGAGAAAGAAGGCUUGGUGGAAGUAGGGGAUGUAUGAUGAGUGCCUUUUUUUAAUGUGUGACCGAUUGUAAGCUUGUAAUUUUUUCACUCAGCCUUAGGGCAUGCAUUUGAUGUGUGUGUGUGUGUGUGUUUUUUAUCCAUCUCAUUCUUGCAAACCCUGGUUUUCUCACUAUUUCAUGCUCAAGGCUCAAAUCUGUGCUGCUGUAUUUGUGUCUUUCUGUGAAACAUUUUCCAUUCUGGAAUUGUACCAAUCUCACUCUCUUUCCCCCUUGUUUGAUUUGCUUUCUCCUGUUUACACACCAAAUAAAGAAAAAAAAAUCAACAACAAUCUUGCCAAGGUUGUUGCAAAUCUGCACCAUGCAUCUCUCUCAUUCUCUCUCCUUAUUUAUUCCUUAAGCAUCUCUUCAUAACCAUGCGGCUUCCUUCCAGCUUGCAUCCAUGUGAAACAUGCUGGGAUGGAAGGGAGAGUGAGAGUGGGGGUGGGUGCACCAGCAGCAGCUCCCUGGAAACAGACUGGCUCAUCAUCACAGCCCAGAAACAGUCUCCAUGGCAACCUAACUUCACUCUCACACAAAGGACACACCCUUGUCAAUGAGAAAAACAGGAAGUGGUCCAUGAGAUGUGCGCGUCAGAACGGCAAAUGAAUCUCAAAGCUAGUUUGUUGAUCUCCUGCGUUCCCCACGUGUGUAGACUUGGGGUGAGGAGACAUUUAUACCAUGCUUUUUGUCCAGCUGUUGAACCCAUCUGGGCAAAUGACUUGCAGUUAAAGCCUCUGCUGCAGGACAUCAGUCCUCACACUGCGAAGCUCUUCGCUGAGAGCUCCUGCAACCAUAAUGUACUGUAGAAUAAAUAAUUUAGUGCAUGUUGCAGCAUCAAGGGAGGCAAAGUUAGAAGCUUUUAUCAUAUAUACAUUCUAGAGCUUUCAUGGCUUUGUUUUUAAACAGUGUGUGCAAGUGAGACACUGAAUUGCAUCCUUUAUAUAAAAUCCGACCGUCCAGUAGCUCAAUGCUGCAUGGAUAAAAAGCCUCCUCCCUCCUACUGCCCUCUAAAACACAGGUUCAGCUGUGAUCGACAUUGGGUUAUGUCCGGCCCCGCCCAGCCGCAGAGCCGAACAGGAGGGAGAGCUGAGGCGAACUGAGCUGAUGCCUCGAUCGGAACGGAAGCUCCCCACUACUGCUACUGCAAAGGGUAGCGGAAAAUUACCUGCCCCUCCCCCACUUUCUACCUCAGAGACAGAGAGCCGCAGCAUACAGUGCACGAGCUGGAGCAUUUACGCAGAGAGGCAGAUCCAGACAUUGUUUCGGGAACCAGUGGAUUCGGAGCGUGCGUACAACCUACAUUGCGCAUCGACUGUAUCGGACAUAGAGCCGCGCAGCAAAUACAAGUUCAGUCUGAUGGCGCCUGUAGCGUGCUGCCGUGGUCAAAUCACUCGCUGACCCACUUAAGCGACGCUCAUAACCUGAUAGACUUGGCUCGCAAUAUUCCGCGCGUGUGAGAGAGGACGGAGCCGGGUUUCACUCUCACCAGCCAAGAACAAAUAAAAAAAAUAAAUAAAUGACUGAAGCUUUGACAGAUGAUUGCAUGACUGUGUGUCUUGAACCGCUCCCUGAAAUGAGGUCAUAGCGUCUGAGUGGGUCACAACACUAUGAAGCCAUUGAAAAAAAACAAAAAAAAAACAAAACUGAGCCACCAAACCUCACUGGGAUUACCUGAACCCAAACCACCUGCAAAACGCAGAAUUAUAUAUUUUAUGAUUAUACAUGUACAAAUGAAUACGCGACGAGCUUCGGGACUAAAGCCCACUUGACCUGACACGGAACUGGAUUUUGUAAGCACAUUAAGGAUAGUAAUGAAAAUAUAUUAAAUCAGGUUUACAGCGCUCCGCAGCUGAGAGCAUGCAUGUCUGAAGAAAUUGAGUUAAUUUCCUGUUAGCUCCUUCAGCUGCUCCCCUUUCACCAGGAGGGAGUGUGCAAGUGGGGGGAGGGGAGGAAUUCAUCAGGAUACGCAAGAGAAAAGAGACGCCCGAGCAAUGGAUGUCAUGAUUCAGCCUUUCCCCGGAAUGAAGGUUAUAAGGUUUUCUGAUAAAAUAUGCUAAAGAACUGUAAAUAAAAACAAUACAGCAGAAUGGGAGCAGCAGGGGAUCAAACAGAAGACCAGACUCAUUACACAGAACACCUGCAAACCUUUGCAGUCUCUAAGAAUGGGCACAAAUGUGUAUCAUGACUACAAAUGUAUGGACAUUUCCCUUAAUAGGCUAGAAUUUAUAUUGAUGUGUUAUGUAGCAUCCAGCGAGUAGAGAACAUUAUGGGUCAGGCUAUGAUCAACACAGAUUUAAGAUUCAAGUAGAAUUGAACAACAAUUAUUACAUCAAAAGAAAGGAUGAACAAAUAAAAAUGAACAAUGAGAGCAAAUGUUAGCUUAUUGUGAAAUGAGACAAUCAUAACAUUAGUAACACAUUUAAUGUUCUCUUUAUGUGGAAAGUAUUUGUAUCUCAAAAUGUUAUGAACUGGUUUAUAUCUCGCACAGAAAUGAUAUGUAAUAAAUAAAACUUGAUUCUGUGUACUUGAAAAGUGCAAGUGUAAA
Molecule: long non-coding RNA, 7771 nt
Organism: Xiphophorus couchianus (Monterrey platyfish)
Lineage: Eukaryota; Metazoa; Chordata; Actinopteri; Cyprinodontiformes; Poeciliidae
Exons: 2
Source: RefSeq, a predicted model, not a curated record